ACCGAGGAAUCAAUCUGCCUUCUGCUGGU
RNAcentral lists this non-coding RNA (29 nucleotides) under Homo sapiens (human). The record is from RNAcentral. Lineage: Eukaryota; Metazoa; Chordata; Mammalia; Primates; Hominidae.